GGGCCCGCACAAGCGGUGGAGCAUGUGGUUUAAUUCGAAGCAACGCGAAGAACCUUACCAAGGAUUGACAUAUAGCUGAAAGGUGUAGAGAUACACCCUUCCUUCGGGACAGUUAUACAGGUGGUGCAUGGUUGUCGUCAGCUCGUGUCGUGAGAUGUUGGGUUAAGUCCCGCAACGAGCGCAACCCUUGUUUUCAGUAGCCAUCAGUUCGGCUGGGCACACUGGAGAGACUGCCGUGGAGAACACGGAGGAAGGUGGGGAUGACGUCAAAUCAUCAUGCCCCUUAUAUCUUGGGCUACACACGUGCUACAAUGGAACCGACAAAGUGAAGCAAACCUGCGAGGGGGAGCAAACCACAGAAACGGUUUCUCAGUUCGGAUUGCAGUCUGCAACUCGAGUGCAUGAAGAUGGAAUCGCUAGUAAUCGCAAAUCAGAAUGUUG
RNAcentral lists this ribosomal RNA (441 nucleotides) under uncultured Bacillota bacterium. Its description in RNAcentral is "bacterial SSU rRNA". It matches the Rfam family "Bacterial small subunit ribosomal RNA", at positions 917 to 1359 of the family's 1533-position model. The record is from RNAcentral. Lineage: Bacteria; Bacillati; Bacillota.